This 252-nucleotide ribosomal RNA is filed under the name uncultured bacterium. RNAcentral's name for it is "partial 16S ribosomal RNA". It matches the Rfam family "Bacterial small subunit ribosomal RNA", at positions 524 to 776 of the family's 1533-position model. The record is from RNAcentral.
UACGAAGGGGGCUAGCGUUGUUCGGAAUCACUGGGCGUAAAGCGCACGUAGGCGGAUUGUUAAGUCAGGGGUGAAAUCCCGAGGCUCAACCUCGGAACUGCCUUUGAUACUGGCGAUCUAGAGUCCGGGAGAGGUGAGUGGAACUGCGAGUGUAGAGGUGAAAUUCGUAGAUAUUCGCAAGAACACCAGUGGCGAAGGCGGCUCACUGGCCCGGAACUGACGCUGAGGGCGAAAGCCAGGGGAGCGAACGGG